Molecule: ribosomal RNA, 393 nt
Filed under: Samia ricini (Indian eri silkmoth)
Lineage: Eukaryota; Metazoa; Arthropoda; Insecta; Lepidoptera; Saturniidae
Description: partial 12S ribosomal RNA
Source: RNAcentral
UAACUAGGAUUAGAUACCCUAUUAUUAAAAAAUUAAAGAAAUAAUACUAAAAGAGUAAGUAAAAUUUUAUUGAAACUUAAAUAACUUGGCGGUAUUUUAGUUCAUUCAGAGGAAUCUGUUUAUUAAUUGAUAAUCCACGAAUAAAUUUACUUAAUUUAUUAUUUUGUAUAUCGUUGUUUAAAAAAUAUUUUUUAAUAAUUAAUAAUAUUUUAAAUUUUAAAUAAAAAAUUAAAUCAGAUCAAGAUGCAGAUUAUAAUUAAGAAUAUAAUGGAUUACAAUAAAUUUAUUUAUUAUGAAUUUUAAGUAGAAUAAUUUAAUUGAAAGUUGGAUUUGAAUGUAAUUUUAUUUAAAUUAAUAAGAAUGAAUUUUAUUAAUUAAAAUAUGUACAUUAUU